RNAcentral lists this ribosomal RNA (253 nucleotides) under uncultured bacterium. RNAcentral describes it as "partial 16S ribosomal RNA". It matches the Rfam family "Bacterial small subunit ribosomal RNA", at positions 524 to 776 of the family's 1533-position model. The record is from RNAcentral.
UACGAAGGGGGCUAGCGUUGUUCGGAAUUACUGGGCGUAAAGCGCACGUAGGCGGGUUGUUAAGUCAGGGGUGAAAUCCUGGAGCUCAACUCCAGAACUGCCUUUGAUACUGGCAACCUAGAGACUGGAAGAGGUUAGUGGAAUUCCCAGUGUAGAGGUGGAAUUCGUAGAUAUUGGGAAGAACACCAGUGGCGAAGGCGGCUAACUGGUCCAGCACUGACGCUGAGGUGCGAAAGCGUGGGGAGCAAACAGG